This is a long non-coding RNA of Zingiber officinale, 2986 nucleotides long. RefSeq lists it as uncharacterized. NCBI's taxonomy places the organism in Eukaryota, Viridiplantae, Streptophyta, Magnoliopsida, Zingiberales, Zingiberaceae. The transcript is spliced from 2 exons. The record is from RefSeq and is a predicted model, not a curated record.
GCGCCACCUCCUAUCACCACAAGCGCCAACCCCUUUCCGUGCCCUCUUCGACCUCUUGGCACCCUCGCUCCCUCUUCAAGUUCUUGGCGCCGCCCUCGACCCUCCCUACAAGCCCCGCAACCCUAUCAGCGCCGCCCCCAUACCUUCCCCUUUCCGUCCCCUCUUCGAUCUCUUGGCACCCCCACUCCCUCUUCAAGCUCUCGGCGUCGCCCUGCAACCCUCCCUGCAAGCCCCGCAACCCUAUCAACGCCGCCCCCCAUCGCCACGCCAUGACUUCCCCUUUCCGUCCCCUCUUCGAGCUCUCGGCACCCCCACUCCCUCUUCGAGCUCUCGGCACCCCCACUCCCUCUUCGAGCUCUCGGCGCCGCCCCCGAGACAUGCCCAAAAUUUCCUCAUUGCAUCCCUUCGCCUCCUUCGUCAAACAGUAAAUCGAAUCUGGAUGUGAGGCGAUUGACUCCGACAAAUCGAUGUUCUCUUCGUAUCUUCACCUCGGCCCCCGACGCCGAGGCGACCCUUCACCCUGCCCUAAUAUCUUCUUCGCACUGCCCUAAUCUUCUUCACACGAUCUGCCCUACCAUGCCAAUCCGGCUCUUUUAGGAAUGUUGGUGGUGGCGUCGAGGUGAAGCUUCAGUUGAGGCGGCCUUGCAAGGAAUGGGAUUUCUUCCCAUUCGAGUAGGUUCUUGAUAAAAUUUUCCAUGAGCUCACAUCGUGCAUCUCGUUCUAUAAGCUCUAGGAUGAGUUACGCAAGGUGAUUCCUCUUGAUCAAAUUUUCUUCUUGUUAUCUUUAUAUAAAAGCAUAUCAAACUUUCCCUUAUUUAGGUGUUUGACAAAGUUUUUGGAAUCAUGAUUAAUGUGAUCAUCAAUAUUGAACCAAGAUGAAUUUAUGCUUGGACUUGUAUACUUAAUUUUGGUAGUUUUCUUGACAUCUAUUAGUGGAUGAAGAUGUUUGACUAGCUUGCCUCCAUGUUCUACUAGAAGCUAUUGAAUUAUCGAUUGUAUGCUCAUUUUAAUUGUUGAACAUUUACUUUUCUUUUGGGUGUAUCUAUGAGAGAUGUCAAUCUCUUCUCAUCAUAUAAAUACAUAGAGUUUAUCCAUCCAUUGAGCCACCAUUUUCUUCUCACUCACAAUUUAAGAGGUAAUGUUUCUCUUCCCUCUAUAAAUACGUACCUUAUUGUGAUACUAAUACCAUGACAUAGACUUUUGGGGCUUUCGCUAUCCCGUCCUUAGAAAAGUUACUAGAUUUUCUCUUCUUCUUUAAAACUUACCACAAAAGUUAUCAAAAUUCAAAAGCCACAGUCAUUCUUUUUCUAAGUUGAUAACAAUUAUAUAUAUGUAAAUGCAUCUUCAUUUCACUAUGUUCUUUUCUAUUAGUUGUUUAUACAUAAAGCCAAAUUAAUUCAAAGAAUCUUUAUCUUUUCUCUUAUUCACCUCUCAAUCCUUUAUAUAUCUAAUAUUACUUAAGUCUCUUUAUUUUCCUUUCCGAACUCUACAAUCCAACAAUAACUUUUUUCUUUUCCUUAGUUCUUAACUUUUUAUAAAACUUAACAAAUGCUUUUAGCCUUUGUUGUACCUAUCAAUGUUGUUUGCCUCAAUUUUAGUUCCUUUAUACAUAUUCAUAGUUUCUUAAUUUGUACAACUUUAAGAUUAUUUUAAACAUGUCUUCUUUAAACUAAUAGUCUUUUGUACUCCCUUAUACCACAACUGACUUUUUUUUAUAUAAGUUUCACCUCUCUACCUUUAGAGAUGUGGUAUUGGUAGCGGUAUUGGGAAUGAUGUUUGUAAAAUUAGAUUGCUAGAGGUGGCAUUGGUAGAGGUAUUGGGAAUGAUGUUGGCGGCAAUAGUAAUAUCAAUCGUGGAAAAAAAAAGUGGUAAUGUCCAUAAUGUUAACCAACAUCUAAAUUUCAAUUUUUUGACCCAAUCUUAAUUUUAUCACUAUAAACUUAAUGUAUCUUAUGGUGCAUGUUGCAGAUCAAGUAAAUCCAGAAAAUAACAUUCCUAUCUCCCAGAGGCUAUAUGCUAAACCUAGUGACAACAAAGUUGAUUUUUUAAUUACUUUGGUAGUGUCAACAUUCCUUUACAUGGUAGUUACUGAUUUUUCUUAUUUAUAUGAUCAUAUUUGUUUUUAUUAUAUUCGAUGUCAAUUCAGUCAUUUUUUAAGACUUAUGUUUCAACCAUAUGGGUGUAUGAAGCUUUAAUCUAAUCCCAUCAAUCUUUUGCAUGAAGGAUGUCAAAAUAUCUAAAACCAUGUACUUGAAUUAAUUAAAGUUAGAAAAAAUCAUUGCUAGAAUAAGACAUGUUCUUAUAAUGGGGCUCUAUCACCUAUAUUAGGUGUUAAUUGGAGAUCUUUCCACCAGUUCUCCUUUUUGGUAAACUUUGGUACGCUGUGGUAGUUCAAGAUAUUGAAUUAUGAUCAAGUGCACUAGAAUAUAGAAAUGUAUUAGAAAUUCGUGCUAUUGGUUUUUAUAGUUGGAUUUAAUAAUUUAGUAACUCUACUAUGCUCUGAUUGUAUUUACACCGCUUGAUGUUAACAUAGAUAAUGUUACCAAGUAUAUCUUGUUUCCAGAAACUCAUAUAUUGCAUAGCUUGUCAACAUUAUUAUCUCUAGAAGGGUUCUUGGAGAUAGUUUCUAAAAACAAGAUUCAUCUGGCUGUCAAAAAUGCAAAUUAUGACAAAGUUCGUGGAGAUGAACCCUGAAGAUUACAUCAAUUUUCUUUCAACUCUAGGACCUCAGGCUCCUCCUUGGCUUAUACUAAUCAAAGGUAAGAUAUUGUUGGACAAGCUUUUGGAAGUGGAGUGAGGAUGCCUUCAUUAAGACCUUCUGAUUCUUCAAAGGAUAUUCUUAAUUAUAUUGUACUGUCUUUUAUUAUAUUUCUUUGAUUGUUAGUUAUUCAAAGUUUUUUGUAAAACAUUUGGAGUUGAUUUAUAAAGAUUUGUGAGCUUUGUAAAAUGAUUAUUAGAUGAAUAAGUGUUGUAUGAAUUGUGAUUA